Molecule: ribosomal RNA, 450 nt
Filed under: uncultured eukaryote
Lineage: Eukaryota
Description: bacterial SSU rRNA
Rfam family: Eukaryotic small subunit ribosomal RNA
Source: RNAcentral
CUCACCAGGUCAGGACACGGUAAGGAUUGACGGACUGAAGGCUCUUUCUCGAUUCCGUGGAAAGUGGUGCAUGGCCGUUUUUGGUUGGUGGAUCGAUCCGUCUGGUUAAUUCCGUUAACGAACGAGACCUCGGCACUCCGAAUAGCGCGGCGGACGUCGCGGCCUCCGGGCCGUCUUCCGCACGAGCUUCUUAGAGGGACCGUCCCCCGCCGGGGAAGGAGGUGCGAGGCAACGACAGGUCUGUGAUGCCCUUAGAUGUUCUGGGCCGCACGCGCAUUACACUGACGCGUCCAACGGGUGACUCCCGACCCGAAGUGGCCGGGGAAUCCGCAAGGCGCGUCGUGAUGGGGAUUGAACGUUGCAAUUGUUGUUCACGAACGAGGAAUUCCUAGUAGGCGCGGGUCAUCAACCCGCGCCGAUUACGUCCCUGCCCUUUGUACACACCGCCCG